CUCGUAGGUGGUCUGUUACGUCUGCUGUGAAAACCUAGGGCUUAACCCUGGGCCUGCAGUGGAUACGGGCAGACUAGAGGUAGGUAGGGGAGAAUGGAAUUCCCGGUGUAGCGGUGAAAUGCGCAGAUAUCGGGAGGAACACCGGUGGCGAAGGCGGUUCUCUGGGCCUUACCUGACACUGAGGAGCGAAAGCGUGGGGAGCGAACAGGAUUAGAUACCCUGGUAGUCCACGCCGUAAACGUUGGGCGCUAGGUGUGGGGUCCUUCCACGGAUUCCGUGCCGCAGCUAACGCAUUAAGCGCCCCGCCUGGGGAGUACGGCCGCAAGGCUAAA
This 332-nucleotide ribosomal RNA is filed under the name uncultured Actinoallomurus sp. RNAcentral's name for it is "bacterial SSU rRNA". It matches the Rfam family "Bacterial small subunit ribosomal RNA", at positions 568 to 898 of the family's 1533-position model. The record is from RNAcentral. Lineage: Bacteria; Bacillati; Actinomycetota; Actinomycetes; Streptosporangiales; Thermomonosporaceae.